This 492-nucleotide ribosomal RNA is filed under the name uncultured bacterium. Its description in RNAcentral is "partial 16S ribosomal RNA". It matches the Rfam family "Bacterial small subunit ribosomal RNA", at positions 28 to 507 of the family's 1533-position model. The record is from RNAcentral.
GACGAACGCUGGCGGCGUGCUUAACACAUGCAAGUCGAACGGAAAGGCCCCCACUUCUUUGGUGGGGGUGCUCGAGUGGCGAACGGGUGAGUAACACGUGGGUGAUCUGCCCUGUACUUCGGGAUAAGCUUGGGAAACUGGGUCUAAUACCGGAUAGGACCAUGGUUUAGUGUCUCAUGGUGGACAAAUUAUUGUUUUGGUGCAGGAUGAGCUCGCGGCCUAUCAGCUUGUUGGUGGGGUAAUGGCCUACCAAGGCGUCGACGGGUAGCCGGCCUGAGAGGGUGGACGGCCACAUUGGGACUGAGAUACGGCCCAGACUCCUACGGGAGGCAGCAGUGGUGAAUAUUGCACAAUGGGCGCAAGCCUGAUGCAGCGACGCCGCGUGGGGGAGGACGGCCGUCGGGUGGUAAACUCCUUUCGUUAGGGACGAAGCCGCACUUUUGUUGGGUGUGGUGACGGUACCUUUGUGAAGAAGCACCGGCUAACUACGUG